UACGUAGGGUGCAAGCGUUAAUCGGAAUUACUGGGCGUAAAGCGUGCGCAGGCGGUCAUGCAAGACAGAUGUGAAAUCCCCGGGCUCAACCUGGGAACUGCAUUUGUGACUGCAUGGCUGGAGUGCGGCAGAGGGGGAUGGAAUUCCGCGUGUAGCAGUGAAAUGCGUAGAUAUGGCGGAGGAACACCGAUGGCGGAGGCAAUCCCCUGGGCCUGCACUGACGCUCAUGCACGAAAGCGUGGGGA
This 245-nucleotide ribosomal RNA is filed under the name uncultured bacterium. Its description in RNAcentral is "partial 16S ribosomal RNA". It matches the Rfam family "Bacterial small subunit ribosomal RNA", at positions 524 to 767 of the family's 1533-position model. The record is from RNAcentral.